ACAUGUGUUACUCGUCUUGACUGGGCGUAAAGGAUGCGUAGGCGGUUAUUUGAGUUUAAAGUAAAAUUUUAAGUUUUAAAAAUAACUUUUAAUACUAAAUAUCUUUGAGUUUAGAAGAAGGAAAAAGUACUCAUAAUGUAGAGGUGAAAUUCGGUGAUAUUAAGGGGACUACGAAAGCGAAAGCAGUUUUCUAGUUUAAAACUGACGCUGAGGCAUUACAGCAUGGGGAGCAAACAGG
Molecule: ribosomal RNA, 238 nt
Filed under: uncultured bacterium
Lineage: Bacteria
Description: partial 16S ribosomal RNA
Rfam family: Bacterial small subunit ribosomal RNA
Source: RNAcentral